Molecule: ribosomal RNA, 254 nt
Filed under: uncultured bacterium
Lineage: Bacteria
Description: partial 16S ribosomal RNA
Rfam family: Bacterial small subunit ribosomal RNA
Source: RNAcentral
UACGUAGGGGGCGAGCGUUGUCCGGAAUUAUUGGGCGUAAAGAGCUCGUAGGCGGCUUAGUAAGUCGGCGGUGAAAUACCGAGGCUCAACCUCGGCACUGCCGUCGAUACUGCUAUGGCUAGAGUUUGGUAGAGGAGAACGGAAUUCCCGGUGUAGUGGUGAAAUGCGUAGAUAUCGGGAGGAACACCAGUGGCGAAGGCGGCUUCCUGGCCUGUUCUUGACGCUGAGGCGCGAAAGCUAGGGGAGCAAACGGG